UAGGGAAUCUUCCGCAAUGGACGAAAGUCUGACGGAGCAACGCCGCGUGAGUGAGGAAGGCCUUCGGGUCGUAAAGCUCUGUUGCCAGGGAAGAACGUCGUGGAGAGUAACUGCUCUGCGAAUGACGGUACCUGAGAAGAAAGCCCCGGCUAACUACGUGC
Molecule: ribosomal RNA, 161 nt
Filed under: uncultured bacterium
Lineage: Bacteria
Description: partial 16S rRNA
Rfam family: Bacterial small subunit ribosomal RNA
Source: RNAcentral